GAUGAACGCUGGCGGCGUGCUUAACACAUGCAAGUCGAACGGAAAGGCCCUGCUUUUGUGGGGUGCUCGAGUGGCGAACGGGUGAGUAACACGUGAGUAACCUGCCCUUGACUUUGGGAUAACUUCAGGAAACUGGGGCUCAUACCGGAUAGGAGCUCCUGAUGCAUGGUGGGGGUUGGAAAGUUUCGGCGGUUGGGGCUGGACUCGCGGCUUAUCAGCUUGUUGGUGGGGUAGUGGCUUACAACGGCUUUGACGGGUAGCCGGCCUUAGAGGGUGACCAGCGACAUUGGGACUGCGAGACGGCGCAGACUCCUAUGGGAGGCAGCAGUGGGGAGUAUGGCACAGUGAGCGGAAGCGUGAUGCGACAACGCCGCGUGCGUAAUGACGGCCUUCGAGUUGUGAACCGCUUUCUCCUGUGACGAAGCGUGAGUGACGGUAAUGGGUAAAGAAGCACCGGCUAACUACGUG
Molecule: ribosomal RNA, 468 nt
Filed under: uncultured bacterium
Lineage: Bacteria
Description: partial 16S ribosomal RNA
Rfam family: Bacterial small subunit ribosomal RNA
Source: RNAcentral